GAUGAACGCUGGCGGCGUGCCUAAUACAUGCAAGUCGAGCGAACAGACGAGGAGCUUGCUCCUUCGACGUUAGCGGCGGACGGGUGAGUAACACGUAGGUAACCUACCUAUAAGACUGGGAUAACUUCGGGAAACCGGAGCUAAUACCGGAUAAUAUUUCGAACCGCAUGGUUCGAUAGUGAAAGAUGGCUUUGCUAUCACUUAUAGAUGGACCUGCGCCGUAUUAGCUAGUUGGUAAGGUAACGGCUUACCAAGGCAACGAUACGUAGCCGACCUGAGAGGGUGAGCGGCCACACUGGAACUGAGCCACGGUCCAGACUCCUACGGGAGGCAGCAGUAGGGAAUCUUCCGCAAUGGGCGAAAGCCUGACGGAGCAACGCCGCGUGAGUGAUGAAGGUCUUCGGAUCGUAAAACUCUGUUAUUAGGGAAGAACAAACGUGUAAGUAACUGUGCACGUCUUGACGGUACCUAAUCAGAAAGCCACGGCUAACUACGUG
Molecule: ribosomal RNA, 497 nt
Filed under: uncultured bacterium
Lineage: Bacteria
Description: partial 16S ribosomal RNA
Rfam family: Bacterial small subunit ribosomal RNA
Source: RNAcentral